Molecule: transfer RNA, 61 nt
Filed under: Anaplecta sp. 5 ZQW-2020
Lineage: Eukaryota; Metazoa; Arthropoda; Insecta; Blattodea; Anaplectidae
Description: tRNA-Arg
Source: RNAcentral
AAACAAGAAGCAAAAGCAACUAAUUUCGACCUAGUAAUAUGACAUUAUAUGUCCUUGUUUU